UCUCCGUACCAAGGACGAGCUCCGUCCUCACGGAGGAUACGGCUCCAGCGUCGCUCUGUCGCCAUACGGGUGGGGAACCGUCGGCCAGAAGCAGCGGCAGCCCGAGCUCGAGAGUAAGCGGGGCCCACAUGGCACCGCAGGUGGUGAUGCUGGUCACUAAUGACACCGCACUGGCCAGGCACAGCGAGCCUCAGCACUUUGGUUAACCCAAGUCUUCCAACUGCUGUGACCCAUUCUGCCUCUAGAAAUGAACAAAAUGGAUUACGCUGAAGAGUCUUGUGCUGCGGAUAAGUGGUAAAGAAAUAAUUUCUUAUCUAUGUGAAAAUUGGAUGCCACUUCACUGUAGUUAAACUUACUUUUUCAUAGAAAAAAACAGAGUCUGAAACUUCAGAAAGCUUUCUGCAAUCAAAUGAUGAACACAUGGCCAGCAGCCCAAAAGUUUGCCACUGAAUGAGUGAGAUCAAAUUUAGGACAUCAUUGGAAAGCAGGUGUUAGUCAGGACCCAGGGAAAGGACCCAAGCAAAGCAGUUACUGAUCAUCUAACAACUGUGGGAUGUAAAAAAGAUGGAGGAAUAAAUUAUAGAAGUUUUCCAUGUCUAUCUAAAAACAAAGUGACAGUGUAAGUAGGAGCUAGGGAAUUACCUUCUCAUCAGCAAUGAUGCAGGUCUUUUAAAAGUAACUGGUAACCAAAGCCCAAAGGUAUCAGCUUUUGCAGUAUACCAGGACACAAAUCUGGCCCAAACACACUGCAUCCUGUGAUUCUUAUAUAUAGCAAAUGGCAGCUGAGUGUUCUAUUCUACUUCAAAUGAGCUACAGUAAGCACCAGAACUCCUUGAAGAUGUGCCAGUGACAGAUUUGCACCAAAGGGGACAACCCCAAGGACAGACACACCUUUGUUCCAUCAGCCCAGUGUAUCUGGAAUGGACUGGAACCAGUGGUAUUGUUUCCAUGCAGAUGCCCAUGGAUGUUUCUCCAUUCAAUCCAUUAAGAAAGAAGGAACGGCACGCUUAGCAGAGCCAUUGUCUUCCUCAUUUUCAUGGGGACGCUUUCUCGUUGUGGUUGGCUGGAAGAAAAACACAGGAGGAUGGCUCCAGGAAACCAGUGUCACCUGAUUUGAUUGUGGCUACAUUUGAAUUGAUGGAUAAGGAAACGUCAUCUGAUCAUCCACCGUAAGAUCAGAAAAUACAAACACUGGGAAGGCAAGUGGAG
Molecule: long non-coding RNA, 1209 nt
Organism: Vidua macroura (Pin-tailed whydah)
Lineage: Eukaryota; Metazoa; Chordata; Aves; Passeriformes; Viduidae
Exons: 4
Source: RefSeq, a predicted model, not a curated record